Molecule: small RNA, 2645 nt
Filed under: Rattus norvegicus (Norway rat)
Lineage: Eukaryota; Metazoa; Chordata; Mammalia; Rodentia; Muridae
Description: uncharacterized LOC102550643
Source: RNAcentral
GGUCCCCAGCUCCGAAGAAAAGAAAAAAAAAAGAAAAAAAAUAAAAAUAAAAAUAAACAAAACAAAAACAGGUUUCAUAAGACUGUAUCAAUUGUGUUGUCCUCUAUACAAAGCUUAAAAUAAUAAAAUAAUACCAUAUACCAUUGAUAUAUGCCAAUAUUGUAUGAUUUUUUUGGAGAUAUGUUUCAAAGUUUUUAGUACUCAUCCUUUUUUUUUUUAAUAAAACAUACAGUUGUUUGAAAAGAAACAAAUACCAGCAAAUAAAUGAGUCCAGCUGUCAUGAGGCCAGAAUUCGGAAUAUGGACUUGAACCAACAGUGCAUGUUAAAAAAAUCACAAUUCUUAAAAAGACAAAGACAUAUAUAUAUAUAUUACAUAUAAUAUACAUAUAAUAUACAUGUAUACACAUAUAUAUGUAUACACACAUGCAUACACAUGUGUGUAUCUGUGUGUCUGUAUGAAUGCCCUGGUAUUCACAUAUUAAAAACAGAGGACAUUGAGGAUAACUUUUCUACUUGUACCAUCUGGGUUCUGCAGAUCUAACUCAGGUUGUUAGGUGGGUAGCAAGAACCAUAACCUGCUGAACUUUCUUAGUGGUCAAGUCUUAUUGCCCUCUUCUUUUUAAUGUUAAGUUAAAUUUAUUUUAACUGAUACAUGAAACAUAAAAAAUUAUACAUUCUAAUGGAGUGCAUAUGCUGUUUUGUAGGGAGGGUGCAGGAUAUGGUUUGAGAGGGAUGCAGAGUGCUUUCCGUUGUAUAUGGAACAUCCCUGUUGCUUAAGACACACGAAUAUGGGAGUCGCCUACGUCUUUGCCUCACUUCAUGGAAGAAGUCUAGUCCCAGAGGCAAAGCUCACCAGCUGACCAACAGUGGUUCAACUUCCCUGGGAGUUCCUGAGAAAGAAAGGGCCUCUGGCCCAACGUAAGACCUCUGGCUGCCAGGUAUGCAUUUCCCAUGUGUGCUAACACUUCUGGAUGCCCUUCAGAUCAACCGAUCACUCUAAUUAGGCUCAUAGGAGUGUUUUUGUUUAUUUUGAGUUUUUUUUUUCCUUUAAAAAUGUCCUGAGACAAUGACAUUGAGUAUUUAAGUUCUUAGCAUCAGGUAUUGGAAAAAGAAGGAAGAAUGGACUCUUCCUAGUAUCUGAAAUGACAGUAACCCAUUGAUACCUCGCUUUGUUUCUCUUCCUCAUGGAGGGCAUCCAGGUAUCGAGACAAGUUGCCUCAGGAAAAACACUUGAGGUAAGUGUACUUUGUGGUCCUUCUGCAUAUUCACACAAUGGGUACACUUUCAAGUUCUCUCACCUACACACACACACACACACACACACACACACACACACACACACACACUCCAAGGGUACAAUCACUUAAUACCCCCAACAAUAAUUACCAUAAAAUGCUCAAAAAAAUGAAAUUAUUAUGCCUUCAUUGAGUUUGCUUUACCAUGAACUGUUAAGGGAAUUAGUACUUUUUUGUGUGUUAUUAGAGUAAAGCAUUUUUAACUCAUUUUUGGGAUGUGCAUUGAUGUGUAUGCAUGUAUGUGUGAACAUCAUGUGUCAUGAGCUGAUCACCUUGUUUUAGGAGACAGGAUUUCUCACUGAGACCUGGGGAUCACAAGAGAACCCCUAGUCUCUCCCCAGAGCUAGGAUUACAAACACGUGCCACCAUUCCUGACUUUUUAUGUGGGUCCUGGGAUCAAACUCACAUCUUUGUGGGCUAGGAUACCUCUUUUUCAUUUUUUGACAUGUACAGGACAGUAUACCGCAGGACACUGCUACGCAACAGAUCUCCAGAAUGUCUUUUAUCUUGCGUGACUGAAACCUCAUCCCCAGUGAACUGGUAACUCAUCAGCAGCCCCUGGCCAUUGCCAUUCAACUUUCUGAUUAUGAAUUUGAUAACUUUUUAAAUACCUCAUCAUAAGUGUAAACAUGCAGUAUCUGUGUUCUGUGAUUGGCUCUUUUCACGUUGCACAAUGCCCUGUAGCAUGAUAGAGUCCAGUCUUCCCUCCCCUUCCAAAUUGAGUAGUAGUCCAUUGCAUAAACUCAUGCGCCGCUGACAGGUUACUCCCACACUUAGCUACUGUGAAUAAUGAAGCAAUAAACACAUCUAUCAUAUACUCCUCAAGACUCUUCUAUUGUAUAAGUAUGGUUGAUAAUCAGAAGUGGGAUAGCUAACUCAUAUGGUAAUUUUUCUUUUCUUUUCUUUUGAGUCGUCUACAGGAGUUUCUACAGAUCCAGUGUCUGCACUGAAAACUACUCCAACAGCACAUCUGGCCCCAAGCUCUCUCUCCACAGCCUUGCCCUUCUGCGCCAUUUUUCUCCAGGGGCCACACUAUUAAGUACACUAUUAGCUGACGGCUCCUACGGUUUUAGCUUUCAUUCCCCUGAUUAUCAGUGACGGUGAGCAUCUCUCUGGAGUCUUACUGACAAUUCAUUUAUUUUCGUCAUAGAAAGUUCUGUUCAAACCUUUCUCCAUUAAAAAAAAAGACAUUUCUGUUAUCGAGUUCUUUGAACAUUACAGCUACAUGGUUUGUAAAUGUUUUUCCCCCAUUCUAUAGACGGUCUUUGACUCUGCUUCUGUUGACUGCUUUGCUAUAACAUUUUUGAUUAAUUUCAAUCAGUAAACUAUCUAUCCACUUUAGUUCUUUA